AUGGCAAGUAGAGCAGGUGGUGAACCCAUAAACGAGCAAGUGGUCGCAAACACUUAUGCGAACAUGCGAACUGAAAUGAACCAGCUCUACACCAAGAUCACAGAGCUGGAAAUGGAAGUGAGUGAGCACUCUCUUGUGAUUGUCGCCAUAGAGCCCCUGGACCCCACUAGGCGGUGCUACAGAAUGAUCGGUGGAGUCUUGGUUGAGAGGACCAUCAAGGAGGUGUUGCCCGCCGUGCACCGGAACAAGGAGGGCCUGGAAGAGGUGGUGGCUCGCGUGAAGGAGGCUCUGGAGACCAAAAAGAAAGAGAUGACCGAGUUUGAGCUCAAGUACAAGAUCAGGAUCCGGAAGGGGGGCGACAGCGGUGCCGAGGAAGGCAACAUGAAGGAAGCCUCUGCUCAGGGUGUUCUUGUUGGCCCUGCUGGCAGUAGAGCAGAGUGA
Molecule: ribosomal RNA, 441 nt
Filed under: Triticum aestivum (bread wheat)
Lineage: Eukaryota; Viridiplantae; Streptophyta; Magnoliopsida; Poales; Poaceae
Description: partial small subunit ribosomal RNA
Source: RNAcentral